This 897-nucleotide ribosomal RNA is filed under the name uncultured bacterium. Its description in RNAcentral is "bacterial SSU rRNA". It matches the Rfam family "Bacterial small subunit ribosomal RNA", at positions 8 to 916 of the family's 1533-position model. The record is from RNAcentral.
AGAGUUUGAUCAUGGCUCAGGACGAACGCUGGCGGCGUGCUUAACACAUGCAAAGUCGAGCGGUAAGGCCCCUUCGGGGGUACACGAGCGGCGAACGGGUGAGUAACACGUGAGCAAUCUGCCCUUCACACGGGGAUAACCACCGGAAACGGUGGCUAAUACCCGAUACGACCACUUCAGGCAUCUGAUGGUGGUGGAAAGUUCCGGCGGUGGAGGAUGAGCUCGCGGCCUAUCAGCUUGUUGGUGGGGUAAUGGCCUACCAAGGCAACGACGGGUAGCCGGCCUGAGAGGGCGACCGGCCACACUGGGACUGAGACACGGCCCAGACUCCUACGGGAGGCAGCAGUGGGGAAUAUUGGACAAUGGGCGAAAGCCUGAUCCAGCAACGCCGCGUGAGGGAUGACGGCCUUCGGGUUGUAAACCUCUUUCAGCAGGGACGAAGCGCAAGUGACGGUACCUGCAGAAGAAGCACCGGCCAACUACGUGCCAGCAGCCGCGGUAAUACGUAGGGUGCGAGCGUUGUCCGGAAUUAUUGGGCGUAAAGGGCUCGUAGGCGGUUUGUCGCGUCGGGAGUGAAAACUCAGGGCUUAACCCUGAGCCUGCUUCCGAUACGGGCAGACUAGAGGUAUGCAGGGGAGAACGGAAUUCCUGGUGUAGCGGUGAAAUGCGCAGAUAUCAGGAGGAACACCGGUGGCGAAGGCGGUUCUCUGGGCAUUACCUGACGCUGAGGAGCGAAAGUGUGGGGAGCGAACAGGAUUAGAUACCCUGGUAGUCCACACCGUAAACGUUGGGCGCUAGGUGUGGGACUCAUUCCACGAGUUCCGUGCCGCAGCUAACGCAUUAAGCGCCCCGCCUGGGGAGUACGGCCGCAAGGCUAAAACUCAAAGGAAUUGACGG